Molecule: ribosomal RNA, 451 nt
Filed under: uncultured Fibrobacter sp.
Lineage: Bacteria; Pseudomonadati; Fibrobacterota; Fibrobacteria; Fibrobacterales; Fibrobacteraceae
Description: bacterial SSU rRNA
Rfam family: Bacterial small subunit ribosomal RNA
Source: RNAcentral
ACGGGAGGCAGCAGUAGGGAAUAUUGCACAAUGGGGGGAACCCUGAUGCAGCAACGCCACGUGUGGGAAGAAGCAUUUCGGUGUGUAAACCACUGUCGUGAGGGAAUAAUGCUAUUUCUCGGAAUAGUUGAAUGUACCUCGAAAGGAAGCACCGGCAAACUUCGUGCCAGCAGCCGCGGUAAUACGAGGGGUGCAAGCGUUGUUCGGAAUCACUGGGCGUAAAGGGAGCGCAGGCGGAAGUGCAAGCGGACUGUACAAUCCCGGGGCCCAACCCCGGACCUGCAGUCCGGACUGCAUUUCUUGGAUAGUUCAGGGGCAAGCGGAAUUCCUGGUGUAGCGGUGGAAUGCGUAGAGAUCAGGAAGAACACCGAUGGCGAAGGCAGCUUGCUGGGGACUUAUCGACGCUCAUGCUCGAAAGUGCGGGUAGCAAACAGGAUUAGAUACCCUGGUA